RNAcentral lists this ribosomal RNA (468 nucleotides) under uncultured bacterium. RNAcentral's name for it is "partial 16S ribosomal RNA". It matches the Rfam family "Bacterial small subunit ribosomal RNA", at positions 28 to 507 of the family's 1533-position model. The record is from RNAcentral.
GACGAACGCUGGCGGCGUGCUUAACACAUGCAAGUCGAACGGAAAGGCCCUGCUUUUGUGGGGUGCUCGAGUGGCGACCGGGUGAGUAACACGUGUGUAACCUGUCCUUGACUUUGGGAUAACUUAAUGCAAUUGGGGCUAAUACCGGGAAGGAGCUCCUGCUGCAUGGUGGGGGUUGGAAAGUUUCGGCGGUUGGGGAUGGACUCGCGGCUUAUCAGCUUGUUGGUGGGGUAGUGGCUUACCAAGGCUUUGACGGGUAGCCGGCCUGAGAGGGUGACCGGCCACAUUGGGACUGAGAUACGGCCCAGACUCCUACGGGAGGCAGCAGUGGGGAAUAUUACACAAUGGGCGGAAGCCUGAUGCAGCAACGCCGCGUGCGGGAUGACGGCCUUCGGGUUGUAAACCGCUUUCGCCUGUGACGAAGCGUGAGUGACGGUAAUGGGUAAAGAAGCACCGGCUAACUACGUG